CGUUCGGUAGCUCAUUUGGGUAGAGCAGCCUGCGAAAGCAGGUGUGUAGCGGGUUCGAAUCCCGCUCGAACAC
Molecule: transfer RNA, 73 nt
Filed under: Burkholderia cepacia
Lineage: Bacteria; Pseudomonadati; Pseudomonadota; Betaproteobacteria; Burkholderiales; Burkholderiaceae
Also listed under: 1 other name
Description: tRNA-OTHER
Rfam family: tRNA
About the family: Transfer RNA (tRNA) molecules are approximately 80 nucleotides in length.
Source: RNAcentral